RNAcentral lists this ribosomal RNA (487 nucleotides) under uncultured bacterium. RNAcentral's name for it is "bacterial SSU rRNA". It matches the Rfam family "Bacterial small subunit ribosomal RNA", at positions 29 to 507 of the family's 1533-position model. The record is from RNAcentral.
AUUGAACGCUGGCGGCAGGCCUAACACAUGCAAGUCGAGCGGAAACGAUCCUAGCUUGCUAGGAGGCGUCGAGCGGCGGACGGGUGAGUAACGCGUGAGAAUCUACCCAUGAGUGGGGGACAACCCGGGGAAACUCGGGCUAACACCGCAUACGCCCUACGGGGUAAAGCAGGGGACCUUCGGGCCUUGCGCUGAUGGAUGAGCUCGCGUCGGAUUAGCUUGUUGGUGAGGUAAAGGCUCACCAAGGCGACGAUCCGUAGCUGGUCUGAGAGGAUGAUCAGCCACACCGGGACUGAGCACGGCCCGGACUCCUACGGGAGGCAGCAGUGGGGAAUCUUGGACAAUGGGGGCAACCCUGAUCCAGCCAUGCCGCGUGUGUGAAGAAGGCCUUCGGGUUGUAAAGCACUUUCAGCAGGGAGGAAGGCUUACCCCUAAUACGGGUGAGUACUUGACGUUACCUGCAGAAGAAGCACCGGCUAAUUUCGUG